UCGCCACCUGGCCGGCAGCUGCUGCGAGAUGAAGGGGGGUGCGACCAGCCUGGGGGUGAGGGGGUAGGUGAGGGGUUGAGGGGUUGAGGGGGUGCGGGGGUGGGCGGUGUUGUUGUUCUUAUGGACAAUGACUGCUUGGUGUGCGUUGUGAAAGGGGGGGUUGUGGGGAGAGUUUGGCCCCCCUAGAACUGCCCCCUCCUCCUAGCCGCCCGCCCGCCCGCAGGGGUCCCCCCCACAGAUACACACAUGUGCGCGCUCACCCACCUUGUCCUGCAGUGUUGUUUUGGCACGUUUUGGCAACCCUUGGCUGCGGCAAGGUGGAGCGCAGUCUGGCCCUCCUGCGUGCGGGUGGCCCCUCGGCAGGGGCAGGGGGAUGGGGUGGCGGGAAAGACGAAGGAAUGAGCUUCCCUGUGGCAGAGCCGCCUGCCAUGUGGGCACUAUCCUAACACCUGUAGAGGAACUCCAAGGAAACCUCGGAUAAGCAUCAAGUGUCCUUAAGUCCUACUAUAGCUCAGCUCCUGGAUCACAGCGCAGGGCCGGGUGAAGAGCUUUGGCAUGGCGUUUCGAGGGGGCACCGGGGAGUGAGCGGGGAGAGCGCGAGGCAGGGGCUGGACACGCGACCAUAUGGAAGGAUUUUGCCGCGCCGCAUUUCCUACAAAUUCAACGUGUUGUAUUGACUUCCUUCAGGAGCCCAUUUGUCUCGACGCCGACCAAUCCAUGACAUUGGAAGCAUGAAAAGCCAUGCACCCCCGCGCGGACUCCCGAAGACGGUGCGAAGCCUCCCUGGAGUCCGCCAACGGAAUCGCCCAGCGCGAGGCUUUCCCGACCUGCGACCUGAGUUCAGCUAAAAUUAUUUAUUCAAACAAUCCGUUUGCCUGCGAUGUAUGGAGCUUUUAAAACUGCAAAGAAUGAUCAAGCAGAACCGCCAUGAUCAAG
RNAcentral lists this long non-coding RNA (936 nucleotides) under Volvox carteri. RNAcentral describes it as "long non-coding RNA (VCAR_LNC003829)". The record is from RNAcentral. Lineage: Eukaryota; Viridiplantae; Chlorophyta; Chlorophyceae; Chlamydomonadales; Volvocaceae.